UACGUAGGGGGCAAGCGUUGUCCGGAUUUAUUGGGCGUAAAGAGCGUGUAGGCGGCCAGGGAGGUCCGUUGUGAAAACUCGAGGCUCAACCUCGAGACGCCGAUGGAAACCCCCUGGCUAGAGUCCGGAAGAGGAGAGUGGAAUUCCUGGUGUAGCGGUGAAAUGCGCAGAUAUCAGGAAGAACACCCGUGGCUAAGGCGGCUCUCUAGUACGGUACUGACGCUGAGACGCGAAAGCGUGAGGAGCGAACAGG
This 253-nucleotide ribosomal RNA is filed under the name uncultured bacterium. RNAcentral describes it as "partial 16S ribosomal RNA". It matches the Rfam family "Bacterial small subunit ribosomal RNA", at positions 524 to 776 of the family's 1533-position model. The record is from RNAcentral.